UUUUAUCUGAUGAUAUUUUACAUUUCUGACACCUCAUAUGAACCGCUGUGAUUCAUUUCAAUUGUAAUUAAUUUACUGAAGUU
Molecule: small nucleolar RNA, 83 nt
Organism: Drosophila albomicans
Lineage: Eukaryota; Metazoa; Arthropoda; Insecta; Diptera; Drosophilidae
Product: small nucleolar RNA Me28S-Gm3255
Exons: 1
Source: RefSeq, a predicted model, not a curated record